UUCUGGUUGAUCCUGCCGGACCUGACUGCUAUCGGAUUGAUACUAAGCCAUGCGAGUCAUUGUAGCAAUACAAGGCAUACGGCUCAGUAACGCGUAGUCAACCUAACCUAUGGACGGGAAUAACCUCGGGAAACUGAGAAUAAUGCCCGAUAGAACAUUAUACCUGGAAUGGUUUAUGUUCCAAAUGAUUUAUCGCCGUAGGAUGGGACUGCGGCCUAUCAGUUUGUUGGUGAGGUAAUGGCCCACCAAGACUAUUACAGGUACGGGCUCUGAGAGGAGUAGCCCGGAGAUGGGUACUGAGACACGGACCCAGGCCCUAUGGGGCGCAGCAGGCGAGAAAACUUUGCAAUGUGCGAAAGCACGACAAGGUUAAUCCGAGUGAUUUCUGCUAAAGAAAUCUUUUGUUAGUCCUAGAAACACUAACGAAUAAGGGGUGGGCAAGUUCUGGUGUCAGCCGCCGCGGUAAAACCAGCACCUCAAGUGGUCAGGAUGAUUAUUGGGCCUAAAGCAUCCGUAGCCGGCUCUGUAAGUUUUCGGUUAAAUCUGUACGCUUAACGUACAGGCCGCCGGGAAUACUGCAAAGCUAGGGAGUGGGAGAAGUAGACGGUACUCGGUAGGAAGUGGUAAAAUGCUUUGAUCUAUCGAUGACCACCUGUGGCGAGGGCGGUCUACUAGAACACGUCCGACGGUGAGGGAUGAAAGCUGGGGGAGCAAACCGGAUUAGAUACCCGGGUAGUCCCAGCUGUAAACUAUGCAAACUCAGUGAUGCAUUGGCUUGUGGCCAAUGCAGUGCUGCAGGGAAGCCGUUAAGUUUGCCGCCUGGGAAGUACGUACGCAAGUAUGAAACUUAAAGGAAUUGGCGGGGGAGCACCACAAGGGGUGAAGCCUGCGGUUCAAUUG
Molecule: ribosomal RNA, 900 nt
Filed under: uncultured archaeon
Lineage: Archaea
Description: bacterial SSU rRNA
Rfam family: Archaeal small subunit ribosomal RNA
Source: RNAcentral